AGCGAGAAACCACCCCGGGGCGCCCAAAAAGAAAGGGAAGAAAGGCAAAGCCAAGGGCAAUCCGAUCGUUGAUGGGCUAGCUCCAGAAGACAUGAGCAAGGAGCAGGUGGAGGAGCACAUUGGCCGCAUCCGGGAGGAGCUGGACCGUGAGCGGGAGGAGCGCAACUAUUUCCAGCUGGAGCGGGACAAGAUCCACACCUUCUGGGAGAUCACACGGAGGCAGCUGGAGGAGAAGAAGGCCGAGCUGCGGAACAAAGACCGGGAGAUGGAGGAGGCUGAGGAGAGGCACCAGGUGGAGAUUAAGGUGUACAAGCAGAAGGUGAAGCACCUGCUGUACGAGCACCAGAACAACCUGACGGAGAUGAAGGCGGAGGGCACUGUGGUCAUGAAGCUGGCGCAGAAGGAGCACCGCACACAGGAGGGCGCGCUGCGCAAGGACAUGCGGGCGCUGAAGGUGGAGCUCAAGGAGCAAGAGCUGGCCAGUGAGGUGGUGGUGAAGAACCUGCGGCUGAAACACACCGAGGAGAUCACAAAGAUGCGCAGUGACUUUGAGAGGCAAGUUCGAGAAAUUGAAGCCAAGUAUGAUAAGAAGAUGAAGAUGCUGAGGGACGAGCUCGACCUGCGGAGAAAGACUGAGGUCCAUGAAGUGGAGGAGAGGAAGAAUGGCCAGAUCAGCACGUUAAUGCAGCGCCACGAGGAGGCCUUCACUGACAUCAAGAACUACUACAACGACAUCACUCUCAACAACCUGGCCCUCAUCAAUUCUCUCAAGGAGCAGAUGGAGGACAUGCGCAAGAAGGAGGAGCACCUGGAGAGGGAGAUGGCCGAGGUGGCCACGCAGAACAAGCGUCUGGCAGACCCUCUCCAGAAGGCUCGGGACGAGAUGAGUGAGAUGCACAAGAAGCUUGGGAACUACGAGAGGGACAAGCAGAUCCUGGUCUGCACAAAAGCACGUUUGAAAGUCACUGAGAAAGAGCUGAGAGACCUUCAGUGGGAACACGAGGUGCUGGAGCAGCGCUUCAUUCAGGUGCAGCAGGAACGGGACGAGCUCUACCGGAAGUUCACCACGGCCAUCCAGGAAGUUCAGCAGAAGACGGGCUUCAAGAACCUGGUGCUGGAGCGCAAGCUGCAGGCACUGAGUGCCACUGCGGAGAAGAGGGAGGUGCAACUAAACGAGGUUCUGGCUGCCUCCAACCUGGACCCCACGGCCUUGACACUCGUGUCCCGCAAGCUUGAGGACGUUCUAGAGUCAAAAAAUAACACCAUCAAGGACUUGCAGUAUGAGCUGGCCCGGGUCUGCAAGGCCCAUAACGACCUGCUGCACACGUACGAGGCGAAGUUGCUGGCCUUUGGGGUCCCCCUGGACAACGUGGGAUUCAAGCCCCUGGAGACAGCUGUGGUUGGACAGACUCUGGGCCAGGGCCCUGCAGGACUUGUGGGCACCCCGACCUAACCACCCUGCUCAGAGGCCACUCUGGAUGACACCUAGUUCACACAGAUUUGGGCACCGUGCGGUCGGCCGGGCGGGCUCCCUGCUCCUGCGCUGUGUCACAGGCUGGCAAGGACUGGACUGGCAGGUGUGGAUGCGAGCCCUUCAGAGGCAGAUUAUCUUCACUGAGGCUUAGUGAUAUUACUGCUGCAAGAGUCUUUGUCUUGACGAUGUUUGACAAGGCAUUGGUAUCAUCUCCACAAUGUGACUUCACUGCCAUAUCAUCAACUCUGGCCUUGCUUGACCUCAGCUGGCAGUGUCCUGCCUGGAUCAGCCAGUGAGCUAGAGUCACAGAGACCCUUCCUCAGUCCAGUGGUGUCACCUUGCAGUUCUCGUGACAGUGACCUCAGGCAGCUGUACCCAGAGCACCCUGGUCCUCCCUUCGAUCCCGGGAGUCUUCCUGGCAUAGGCCAAGGGAGACUUGGCAGGUGGUAAUGAAUAAGGCUCAGCCUACAGAGACCCCCACAGACGGUAAAGGGAGAUGGGCCUCACUUCCUCAGUGAGGCUCGCCCUUCACUGCCCUCACCCGAUGGCCAGCAGGGUCUGAGACCACCAGCAGGGCAUCCAGAGCCACCUUUUGCUCCAGGAAACCAUGGCUCCUACUUCCUCCCAGUCAGCAACUUGGCAAGCACAGGGGCUUCUCGGCACCCACCAGAGGGCACCACCUGGCCUAGGGUAACCAGCUGCUGUCUGGUGAGUAGCCAACACCUUCCCACCUCGGCCCAGUACUCAGCAGCACCCCGUAGGCAGAGGGAGAGAGGAGGCUCGGGCAGCAGGACCAGAACCGCGUGUCUGGGUGUGUGAGUCUCAGGGAUGACAGGAUCAUGUGGCCUCACCCUCCCCAUUCUAGCAGGGUUUGGAGCAGUCUGUGUCUCCCACAGGUGGGAGAUACUUGGUGCUCGAAUGUAGGGUGUUACGAAAUACUGAGAAGAGAGAUGGAGAAGUGAGAGCAGAGGGCUGAAGCUCCCUUGGAGCAGAAUCCAAACUGGCCUAGAGCAGAGCCCAUUUAUUCCCAACGAAAUUGGAGAAGCGACUGGUCUUGAGGUGGUGAUCCCUGGUGUCAGUGGAGGAGGCACAGUUCCAAGAAGCUGCAGGUUUGCCCCAAGCCCUUCGUGGGACGAGUCUUUCCUCUGUGGAAUUGGUAAUUCGGCUAACCUUCUGUAAGGACACAAGUCCACAGAGUUGACCACAUCAGCACCAUGGGGCAACCGUCUGUGGACUUGGGAGCAUCCUGAUGACCUGAAAGGAAACUCGGCAACCUCAAGGAGUCACUUCCCCACCUCAGCGCUGUCCACUGUGCAUCUGCUUUCUGUCUCUGGACCCACCUGUCCUGGAAGGUCCACAUACAUGGGCUCACACACUGUGUGGCCUUUGGUGCCCUGACUCAUUCACUUCUGUCAUUUCUGUGGUUUGUCUGUGUCAUGACAUGCACGAGUCCUUCACUCUUUUGAUGUCUGAUGAAAUAGACAUGAGAGUAUUUACCAA
Molecule: RNA transcript, 2974 nt
Organism: Tupaia belangeri chinensis (Chinese tree shrew)
Lineage: Eukaryota; Metazoa; Chordata; Mammalia; Scandentia; Tupaiidae
Gene: DRC4
Gene name: dynein regulatory complex subunit 4
Exons: 17
Source: RefSeq, a predicted model, not a curated record